Stegostoma tigrinum is the source of this 1232-nucleotide long non-coding RNA. RefSeq lists it as uncharacterized. The transcript is spliced from 3 exons. NCBI's taxonomy places the organism in Eukaryota, Metazoa, Chordata, Chondrichthyes, Orectolobiformes, Stegostomatidae. The record is from RefSeq and is a predicted model, not a curated record.
UGAUCAGCCAGUUCUGCGCAUGCGCUUAUCUAGCGCAUGUGCAAUACAUCGACGUGAUGGGAUCUUCAAGGAAAAUACUGCAAAUACAGAUGUCCCACGUAUUAUUUUUAUUACCAUACUUGGGAGUGUACUUGAACUGCCAUUACCUACUAGACUCGCUACGACCCAGGAGCUGGUCGGGGGGCUGAGGCUGGAUAACCCAUCAUGAGCUGGUGCAGAAGAGUAUUUUACAAAAACCCGAUUGAGUAGUUGGUUUUCACUUAUCAAUAUCGGGUUUUUAGGCAAAUCAUUGUUUUAAUACAGCUGCUACUGCUUUCAUGUUGGUAGAUAUGAGAUGAUUUUGCUGGUUCACAUAAUUCAGUUCCAAGCGGCAUCAUGUGCUUAAUAAAUAACUUUGCACUAAAUAGUACUUUAACACUGUGCAUUUCAUUUUAACAUUGUUUAUCAAAGACUUCCUGUUCUGUGGCCUGCCUCUGCUAUCAAAAUCUUCACCCUAUUCCUCUGCUCACACACUGGGUUCUGAAGUUUCAUUGGUCUUCCUCAAGUUCAUCUGCUCCCCCUCUUCAUCAAACUAUUCUUUAAUGGGAAUUAAUAACAGUUAAAAUAAAAUUGGCAAUUUUAAUCAUAUUUCUUCUGGCUCAGAUGAUGUCAAGAAGUUUGUGAUGGAAUUUGAGCUGUGACCAUCUCCAAAACCAUCCCCACCCAUUCAUUAUACAUUCUCCGCUGUAUAGGCUUUUACAAAUAUGAAGUUUAUAGGAUUUUGGACUUUCUGUGGAAAAGUGGAAUAGUAAAAGACAUAACAGUAUUUCUCUGUGUCCUACACUAUUGUCAGUAUUUCUUUCUGUCCUACAUAAACACUAUUUCUCUCUGUCCUACAACACCACCCAGGACCCCACCUCUUUUUUUUAUAAACUACAGCGAGCAGAGCCGCAACCUGUUUAACCUUUGUUCAUAAGACAACCCCUCAAGUGGGGUGGGGGCAGAGGUUAUCCAAAGCGAAUCUCCUCUGAACUGCUUCCAAUAAAACAAUAUAUUUCCUUAAAAAAGCAAAGCAAAACUGCUCACAGCACUCUAGAUGUUUUCUCACCAGCACUUCGUACAGUUGUAGUUAAGACUUUGCUAUUUUUAUACUCCAACCCAGCAUGGCAGGUUGCUGGCACUGCUGCCUCACAGCUUCAGGGACCUGGGUUUGAUUUCAUGCUCAAGCUACUGUUUGCAUAUUCUCACCACCU